Molecule: ribosomal RNA, 757 nt
Filed under: Pseudohelicoon subglobosum
Lineage: Eukaryota; Fungi; Ascomycota; Dothideomycetes; Tubeufiales; Tubeufiaceae
Description: partial 28S ribosomal RNA
Rfam family: Eukaryotic large subunit ribosomal RNA
Source: RNAcentral
AACCAACAGGGAUUGCCUCAGUAACGGCGAGUGAAGCGGCAACAGCUCAAAUUUGAAAUCUGGCUCCUUUCAGGUGUCCGAGUUGUAAUUUGUAGAGGAUGCUUCGGCUUACGCCCCGGUCUAAGUUCCUUGGAACAGGACGUCACAGAGGGUGAGAAUCCCGUUUGUGGCCGGCGGCCUCUGCCAUGUGAAGCUCCUUCGACGAGUCGAGUUGUUUGAGAAUGCAGCUCUAAAUGGGAGGUAUAUUUCUUCUAAAGCUAAAUACCGGCCAGAGACCGAUAGCGCACAAGUAGAGUGAUCGAAAGAUGAAAAGCACUUUGGAAAGAGAGUUAAAAAGUACGUGAAAUUGUUGAAAGGGAAGCGCUUGCGACCAGACUUGCCCGCGGAUGCUCAGCCGGUCCUUCGGCCGGUGCACUCUUCCGCGGUCAGGCCAGCAUCAGUUCGGGCGGUCGGAUAAAGGCCUUGGGAAUGUGGCUCCUCUCGGGGAGUGUUAUAGCCCUUGGUGCAAUACGGCCCGCCUGGACUGAGGCCCGCGCUUCGGCUAGGAUGCUGGCGUAAUGGUCGUAAGCGGCCCGUCUUGAAACACGGACCAAGGAGUCUAACAUCUAUGCGAGUGUUUGGGUGUCAAACCCGUGCGCGAAAUGAAAGUGAACGGAGGUGGGAACCCUCGGGUGCACCAUCGACCGAUCCUGAUGUCUUCGGAUGGAUUUGAGUAAGAGCAUAGCUGUUGGGACCCGAAAGAUGGUGAACUAUGCCU